CCUACGGGAGGCAGUAGUGGGGAAUAUUGGACAAUGGGGGGAACCCUGAUCCAGCCAUGCCGCGUGUGUGAAGAAGGCCCUCGGGUUGUAAAGCACUUUCAGUGAGGAAGAACGCCUGGUGGUUAAUACCCAUCAGGAAAGACAUCACUCACAGAAGAAGCACCGGCUAACUCCGUGCCAGCAGCCGCGGUAAUACGGAGGGUGCGAGCGUUAAUCGGAAUUACUGGGCGUAAAGCGCGCGUAGGUGGCUUGAUAAGCCGGUUGUGAAAGCCCCGGGCUCAACCUGGGAACGGCAUCCGGAACUGUCAAGCUAGAGUGCAGGAGAGGAAGGUAGAAUUCCCGGUGUAGCGGUGAAAUGCGUAGAGAUCGGGAGGAAUACCAGUGGCGAAGGCGGCCUUCUGGACUGACACUGACACUGAGGUGCGAAAGCGUGGGUAGCAAACAGGAUUAGAUACCCCAGUAGUC
Molecule: ribosomal RNA, 465 nt
Filed under: Vreelandella stevensii
Lineage: Bacteria; Pseudomonadati; Pseudomonadota; Gammaproteobacteria; Oceanospirillales; Halomonadaceae
Description: partial 16S ribosomal RNA
Rfam family: Bacterial small subunit ribosomal RNA
Source: RNAcentral